AAAGAUUAAGCCAUGCAUGUCUAAGCACCCUUUUAAUACGGUGAAGCCGCGAAUAGCUCAUUACAACAGCCACCGUUUACUAGAAUAUAGUUAUCCUACUUGGAUAACUGUGGCAAUUCUAGAGCUAAUACAUGCAAAAAAGCUCUGACCGCAAGGAACGAGCGCAUUUAUUAGAAUAAAAACCAAUCGGGUUUCGGCCCGUAAUUUGGUGAAUCUGAAUAACUUUGCCAAUCGCACAGUCCUAGUACUGGCGAUGUAUCUUUCAAGUGUCUGCCUUAUCAACUUUCGAUGGUAGGUUAUACGCCUACCAUGGUAGUAACGGGUAACGGAGAAUAAGGGUUCGACUCCGGAGAGGGAGCCUGAGAAACGGCUACCACAUCCAAGGAAGGCAGCAGGCGCGCAAAUUACCCACUUCCAGAACGGAGAGGUAGUGACGAAAAAUAACGAGACAGUCCUCUUCGAGGUCUGUCAUCAGAAUGGGUACAAUUUAAAUCCUUUAACGAGGAUCUAUUGGAGGGCAAGUCUGGUGCCAGCAGCCGCGGUAAUUCCAGCUCCAAUAGCGUAUAUUAAAAUUGUUGCGGUUAAAACGCUCGUAGUUGGAUCUGCGGCCUCGGAGAACGGUCCCCCGAAAGGGUGGUCACUGUCUCUCCUAGCCUAAAUUCGAGUCGUCUCUAGGUGCUCUUUACCGAGUGCUUAGAGUGACUAGAACGUUUACUUUGAAAAAAUUAGAGUGCUUAAAGCANGCGAAAUAGCCUGAAUAAGGUGCAUGGAAUAAUGGAAUAGGACCUCGGUUCUAUUUUGUUGGUUUUCGGAACCCGAGGUAAUGAUUAAGANGAACAGACGGGGGCAUUCGUAUUCCGGCGCUAGAGGUGAAAUUCUUGGACCGCCGGAAGACGGACGACUGCGAAAGCUUUUGCCAGAAUG
RNAcentral lists this ribosomal RNA (924 nucleotides) under Aporcelaimellus cf. paraobtusicaudatus JH-2004. Its description in RNAcentral is "SSU rRNA". It matches the Rfam family "Eukaryotic small subunit ribosomal RNA", at positions 39 to 966 of the family's 1831-position model. The record is from RNAcentral. Lineage: Eukaryota; Metazoa; Nematoda; Enoplea; Dorylaimida; Aporcelaimidae.